This 327-nucleotide small nuclear RNA is filed under the name Vulpes vulpes (red fox). Its description in RNAcentral is "7SK RNA (ENSVVUG00000025409.1)". It matches the Rfam family "7SK RNA". Rfam says of the family: 7SK was discovered as an abundant small nuclear RNA in the mid-70s but a possible function has only recently been suggested. Lineage: Eukaryota; Metazoa; Chordata; Mammalia; Carnivora; Canidae. The record is from Rfam by way of RNAcentral.
GGAUGUGAGGGCAAUCUGGCUGUGACAUGUGUCACCUCAUUGAUUGCCAGAGUUGAUUUGGCUGAUCUGGCUGGCUAGCUGGGUAUCUCCAUCCUCCCUCACUGCUUCAUGUGCGUCUCCCUCGAAGCUGCAUGCCUGGUCAAGGAGGAUGACCUUCCCCAGUAGAGGAGGACUGUUUCUUGGUCAUGGGUGUACAAAUACCUGUGUUCCCCCGAUAGAACUUCCAAACAAGCUCUCCAGGUCCUUUUUAAGAACAUAGGGCAGUCAAGCUUCCAGGACUCCAGACACAUCCAAACAAAGCGAUACAUGUGGCAGUCGCCUUUCUUU